This 557-nucleotide small RNA is filed under the name uncultured Fusobacterium sp. RNAcentral describes it as "bacterial SSU rRNA". The stretch from base 1 to 341 matches the Rfam family "Bacterial small subunit ribosomal RNA", at positions 1194 to 1533 of the family's 1533-position model. The record is from RNAcentral. Lineage: Bacteria; Fusobacteriati; Fusobacteriota; Fusobacteriia; Fusobacteriales; Fusobacteriaceae.
CAUGCCCCUUAUACGCUGGGCUACACACGUGCUACAAUGGGUAGAACAGAGAGUCGCAAAGCUGUGAAGUGGAGCUAAUCUCAGAAAACUAUUCUUAGUUCGGAUUGUACUCUGCAACUCGAGUACAUGAAGUUGGAAUCGCUAGUAAUCGCGAAUCAGCAAUGUCACGGUGAAUACGUUCUCGGGUCUUGUACACACCGCCCGUCACACCACGAGAGUUGGUUGCACCUGAAGUAGCAGGCCUAACCGUAAGGAGGGAUGCUCCGAGGGUGUGAUUAGCGAUUGGGGUAAAGUCGUAACAAGGUAUCCGUACGGGAACGUGCGGAUGGAUCACCUCCUUUCUAAGGAGUAUAAGUCUUUCUCUAUUCUAUUGGUAAUGUUCUUUACAUUACUUCUGAACAUUGGAAACUAUAUAGUAGAACAAACAAGAAAAAAAUUAACUCUAACAAUUUCUUAGAGUUAGCUGUCAAAAAAUAGGUUAAAAUAAUUAAGGGCACACAAAGGAUGCCUAGGUAGUAAGAGCCGAUGAAGGACGUGGUAAGCUGCGAUAAGCCUAG